RNAcentral lists this ribosomal RNA (685 nucleotides) under uncultured Phialocephala. RNAcentral's name for it is "eukaryotic LSU rRNA". The stretch from base 434 to 685 matches the Rfam family "Eukaryotic large subunit ribosomal RNA", at positions 1 to 255 of the family's 3401-position model. The record is from RNAcentral. Lineage: Eukaryota; Fungi; Ascomycota; Leotiomycetes; Helotiales.
ACCCACCCGUGUUUACAUACUAUUGUUGCUUUGGCGGGCCGUGGCCUCCACUGCGGGCUCUGCUCGUGUGUGCCCGCCAGAGGACCAAACUCUGAAUGUUAGUGAUGUCUGAGUACUAUCUAAUAGUUAAAACUUUCAACAACGGAUCUCUUGGUUCUGGCAUCGAUGAAGAACGCAGCGAAAUGCGAUAAGUAAUGUGAAUUGCAGAAUUCAGUGAAUCAUCGAAUCUUUGAACGCACAUUGCGCCCUGUGGUAUUCCGCAGGGCAUGCCUGUCGAGCGUCAUUUAACCACUCACGCCUAGCGUGGUAUUGGGGCACGCGGUCUCCGCGGCCCUCAAAAUUAGUGGCGGUGCCGGUGGGCUCUAAGCGUAGUACAUACUCCCGCUAUAGAGUUCCCCCCGGUGGCUCGCCAGAACCCCCAAUUUUUACAGGUUGACCUCGGAUCAGGUAGGGAUACCCGCUGAACUUAAGCAUAUCAAUAAGCGGAGGAAAAGAAACCAACAGGGAUUACCUCAGUAACGGCGAGUGAAGCGGUAACAGCUCAAAUUUGAAAGCUGCCAACAGGCCGCGUUGUAAUUUGUAGAAGCUGCUUUGGGUGUCGGCCCGGUCUAAGUUCCUUGGAACAGGACGUCAUAGAGGGUGAGAAUCCCGUAUGUGAUCGGUGCCGUUGCCCGUGUAAAGCGCU